Molecule: ribosomal RNA, 483 nt
Filed under: uncultured rumen bacterium
Lineage: Bacteria
Description: bacterial SSU rRNA
Rfam family: Bacterial small subunit ribosomal RNA
Source: RNAcentral
UUAACACAUGCAAGUCGAGGGGCAGCGCGGAUAGCAAUAUCUGGCGGCGACCGGCGGAAGGGUGCGUAACGCGUGAGCAACAUGCCCGUUAUCGGGGGAUAGUCAUUGGAAACGAUGCGUAAUACCCCAUAACCACUGAAGCUGCAUGGCUUUAGUGUAAAAGAUUCGUCGAUGACGGAUUGGCUCGCGUGGCAUUAGCCAGUUGGCGGGGUAACGGCCCACCAAAGCGACGAUGCCUAGGGGUUCUGAGAGGAAGACCCCCCACAUUGGGACUGAGACACGGCCCAAACUCCUACGGGAGGCAGCAGUGAGGAAUAUUGGUCAAUGGACGGAAGUCUGAACCAGCCAUGCCGCGUGAAGGAAGGCGGCCCUAUGGGUUGUAAACUUCUUUUGUGACAGAGCAAUAAGGUCUACGCGUAGACCGAUGAGAGUAUGCCACGAAUAAGCAUCGGCUAACUCCGUGCCAGCAGCCGCGGUAAUACG